UACGGAGGGUCCAAGCGUUAUCCGGAAUCAUUGGGUUUAAAGGGUCCGUAGGCGGUUUUGUAAGUCAGUGGUGAAAGCCCAUCGCUCAAUGGUGGAACGGCCAUUGAUACUGCAAGACUUGAAUUAUUGGGAAGUAACUAGAAUAUGUAGUGUAGCGGUGAAAUGCUUAGAGAUUACAUGGAAUACCAAUUGCGAAGGCAGGUUACUACCAAUAUAUUGACGCUGAUGGACGAAAGCGUGGGGAGCGAACAGG
Molecule: ribosomal RNA, 253 nt
Filed under: uncultured bacterium
Lineage: Bacteria
Description: partial 16S ribosomal RNA
Rfam family: Bacterial small subunit ribosomal RNA
Source: RNAcentral